AACGGCCUCUCCUCAGAAGAUGGACGCGCGCGUGGGCGGACCCGCGCCUGAGGGCCGCCAUGGUUGUGUCCGUCCUUGUGGCGAGCGAGCCAAGGACAGGGGAGGGGCGGAGAUGCACCCGUCGUCCUGGUGGCUGUUCGGGACGAGCACCUUGGGCGACGGCCGCGGCCGGCGGGAGGAGCUCGGCAUGCCGCAGGAAGAAGAGAUGGUGGUCGCCUGUCCGGAACUGUUGUUGCCGGCGCCGGCGACGUCCCCGAGCUGUUGCUGCCAUCCACGACUCGGCCAUGCUGCUGCCGACGACCUCCCCAACCUGCAGCUGCCCUCUGAGGCUGCUGUUGGGGACAAGAAGCUUGGGCGUUGGCUGCGGCCGGCGGGAGGAGCUCGCCACGCCGCAUGAAGAAGAGAUGGUGGUCGCCUGUCCGGAACUGUUGCUGCCGGCACCGGCGACGUCCCCCGACCUAUUGCUGCCUUCCACGACUCCUUCAUGCUGCUGCCGACGACCUCCCCGACCUGCAGCUGCCCUUUGAGGGUGUUCUGGAGCAGGGGAGAGGCCGAGGGGGUGACUUUGGGUCUGGGCAGUGAUGACCAUCCCAACCAACUUGGCCAAGCACCAAGUCAACCUGCAGGUGGCUCCCAUCAUAGCCAAGAUCAUGGCGAAGGUCAACGACGGGUCCUAGUGAAUGUCAUGAGCUCACCAUGCUGCAACCGUGGUGGCGGUGACGCUCAUCCUCGUGGACGACCUCUUAGAGCUCGAUGCUUUGGAAGCCAAUAUGGAGUUCAAAUCGAAUCCAGUCCCAUGUUACCUUCAACCAGACUAGGAGUGGUCAUGUAGCAGCCCUAAACCGGUAGCAGGCUUCUUUGAUCUGGAGAACGGAAACCAGGAGCUCAAGAGUGACCUUAAGCACCUCCACAUGAACACUACAACAAUGCAGACUUGUAAAUCCUCGAUAUUUGGCCCAGGUGAUGCAGCUGAUGGAGGGAGGAAGCCAAGUGGCUCCGGCGGCAUGGUCUUGGUCGCCAAAAAGCAGCCCAGAUGUGUUGCUGCUUGCCUCUAGCUGAUUUGGUUCUGAUAUUAUCGGUCGGUUCCGGUGGCUGUGGCUGUGGUUCCGCUGCUGCUUUUGUUUCUGUAGAACUGCUUCAGUUUUUAUGACAUGCAGCAUUGAAAUUGCAUCGUUCCUUUUGGUCCAAAUCAGGACUUGUAAUAGUUUGCCUCAUUCGUGACUUCCA
Non-coding RNA from Lolium perenne, 1227 nucleotides. NCBI's taxonomy places the organism in Eukaryota, Viridiplantae, Streptophyta, Magnoliopsida, Poales, Poaceae. The record is from RefSeq and is a predicted model, not a curated record.